GACCUGGUGGUGAAUGGCUCAUACCCACUUUACUUACAUUUCGCGAGCGAGACAGAAUAUGGUGGGUGUCCCUGGGUCGAAUCCAGGCCAGGUCG
Mycena albidolilacea is the source of this 95-nucleotide non-coding RNA. NCBI's taxonomy places the organism in Eukaryota, Fungi, Basidiomycota, Agaricomycetes, Agaricales, Mycenaceae. The record is from the annotation of a GenBank genome assembly.